CUGGUUCCCUUUGAUUUGGCAGGGGAACUUCUACAGUAGUACCCUUCUUUUGAUGGACCGGCUCCAUCUCUUCCUCACCCUCUUCAACAACAACCUCAUAACUUUCACCUAGUUUUGCUUUCCCCUUUUCUUUCCUCAUUUUCUUACUAUCCUCUACAGCUCUCUACAAUUCUGCUUCACUCUCCCUAACUCUACUUCUUUUGGUUCUAACCUAGGAGAAGACUUGGGGGAUGAAGUUUUACUUUUCUUGGUUGGUUUAGAUGCAGCAGAGGUCCUUUGUGAGUCUUAACUAGCCCCAACUUUCUUCAGCAUAUCCACCAAAGUUUCUUCUGUAGAUGAACCAGGUUCAUUUUGUUGUUCACUCAGAUUAACUAAGCCCUCAUCAGCUUCUCCUGAGCCACUUCCCGCUGACCUCGAGCCUCCCUCUUCCCCACUACCACGUAUAGCUAACACUUCCUUCUUAUUUUUCUUUCUCAU
Molecule: long non-coding RNA, 477 nt
Filed under: Nicotiana benthamiana
Lineage: Eukaryota; Viridiplantae; Streptophyta; Magnoliopsida; Solanales; Solanaceae
Description: long non-coding RNA (NBEN_LNC020658)
Source: RNAcentral